Molecule: ribosomal RNA, 549 nt
Filed under: uncultured bacterium
Lineage: Bacteria
Description: bacterial SSU rRNA
Rfam family: Bacterial small subunit ribosomal RNA
Source: RNAcentral
GGGGAAUCUUCCGCAAUGGACGAAAGUCUGACGGAGCAACGCCGCGUGAGUGAUGACGGCCUUCGGGUUGUAAAGCUCUGUUAAUCGGGACGAAUAGUUCUUGUGCGAAUAGUGCGAGGAUUUGACGGUACCGGAAUAGAAAGCCACGGCUAACUACGUGCCAGCAGCCGCGGUAAUACGUAGGUGGCAAGCGUUGUCCGGAAUUAUUGGGCGUAAAGCGCGCGCAGGCGGAUUGGUCAGUCUGUCUUAAAAGUUCGGGGCUUAACCCCGUGAUGGGAUGGAAACUGCCAAUCUAGAGUAUCGGAGAGGAAAGUGGAAUUCCUAGUGUAGCGGUGAAAUGCGUAGAUAUUAGGAAGAACACCAGUGGCGAAGGCGACUUUCUGGACGAAAACUGACGCUGAGGCGCGAAAGCCAGGGGAGCGAACGGGAUUAGAUACCCCGGUAGUCCUGGCCGUAAACGAUGGGUACUAGGUGUAGGAGGUAUCGACCCCUUCUGUGCCGGAGUUAACGCAAUAAGUACCCCGCCUGGGGAGUACGACCGCAAGGUUG